RNA transcript from Xiphophorus hellerii (green swordtail), 2589 nucleotides. It is a transcript of the gene named BAR/IMD domain containing adaptor protein 2 like 1b, with no coding region annotated. The transcript is spliced from 15 exons. NCBI's taxonomy places the organism in Eukaryota, Metazoa, Chordata, Actinopteri, Cyprinodontiformes, Poeciliidae. The record is from RefSeq and is a predicted model, not a curated record.
ACCUACAACAAGUUUGACAGCUCAGCCUUUUAGUACCGAGCAGCAGUGGUAACGACAGAAAAAUUGCACUUUCUUCCACUGAAGACGGGUUUUGUCUUAUUUUUUGUCGCUAUGUGUGCGUCCGGCGUUUCCUGUGGGCUAUGAGGGGUUUUAUACAUCCGUAGGCUUUGGUCACUUCUCCCCCCUGGGAUUCCUUCUUUCCUUUUUUUGGCUCGCGUUGGUGUAGCGUCUGAGAAAUAAAUUCGAGGAAAACCUCUGCUUUUUACAUUUAUCCGGGCGUCGAGAGGAGGAUAAAGAUGUCGAACAAGGUGGAUGAGGCGAACAAGCUCGCCGAAAGUACAUACAAGAAUGUGAUGGAGCAGUUCAACCCAGGCCUUAGGAACCUGGUGAACCUAGGAAAGAGCUAUGAGAAGUCUGUUCAUGCUAUGUCCAUGGCAGGAAAGAUGUAUUUUGAUGCACUGUCUAAGAUUGGAGAGAAUGCUGCUGGAUCUCCUGUCUCCAAAGAGUUGGGUGCAGUGCUGGUAGAAAUCUCCGAGGUGCACAGGAAGGCUCAGCUUGAGAUGGAGGAAAAUUUUAAGAGGUUCCACAGGGAGAUAAUAACAGAGCUGGAGAGAAAGACUGACAUGGAUGUCAAAUACAUGACAGCCACUUUCAAAAGGUACCAGAUGGAGCACAAGAUGAAGCAGGAUUCUCUGGAGAAGUCCCAGGCGGACCUGAAAAAGCUGAGGAGGAAGAGCCAAGGCAAGAACGCCAACAAAUACGAAAGCAAGGAAAGCGAGAUCCUGGAAGCCCUGACAGUUCGACAGACGGAGAUGCAGUUGUUCCUCGCAGAUGGCUGCAAGGAGGCUCUGCUGGAGGAGAAGAGACGCUUCUGUUUUCUUGUUGACAAACACUGCUUGCUAACCUAUCAGUUUGCUUCCUAUCAUGACAAGACCAGAGACUUGCUGUCAACAAAGCUGAGCAGCUGGCAGGACCAGUGCAACGAUGCCACCAACAUGCCAGACAGCGUCUUAUCCAUGAUUGAUGAACUGCGCAAGCCAGUCGCCAUUGCACCGAUGCCUUCUCCCACCCCAUCAAGACACAGCGUGCAGAGUGCGCCCGUUCCCCCGGCUCCUCCUCUGAAAGCUCAGACCAGCCCUCUGGCUAAUAUGUUCAACCACCAAGACAGCAACACAAGACAGCCUGCUCAUACGCCGACCAAAAACAGCAUAGACCAUGAAAACGGCGACGAGAACAAUCUUGCCAGGUCUGUGUCCGUCGCCACAGGCCUCAACAGCAUGGCGAGGAGGCCACGGGUGCGCACCAUCUUCCCCCACACUGCUGGCAACAACAGCACGCUGCUCAGCUUUGAUGAGGGAGACAUCAUUAUCCUGCUCAUCCCUGACGAGAGGGACGGUUGGAUGUACGGCGAAAUGGAAAAGAAUGGAAAGAGGGGCUGGUUCCCUUCAUCUUACUGCCGCGCUGUCAAUGAGCAGCUCGUGAAUAACAACAGUGAGGCUACGGCCCCUCUCCGCAGCAGGAGCGUGGUCAACCUCCACCAUCAAGAUACAGAGACAGACGAGGCCACCAUGGUGCUUCCCCCGACGGACUACUACAACAUCAGGAGCAAACCCUUGUCCACCGUAAGCGUCGCUACAAAUAACCACCAGCACUCCCCCACGCCCUCGGCAGCAUCCUCCACCUCCUCUGAUCAGAACUCGCAUCGUGGCUACAGUACCCUCAGCUGCACAGCCUUAUCUUGACUGGUGAUGAAGGCCGAACAGUCUAACGGCACCUCGAGACCUCCGCCUGCUUUCCUCGCCGGAGGAAAUCCAUUUGCAACAGUCAGGCUACGACCAACUGUGACUAACGAUCGCUCUGCGCCCGUCAUCUGAUCUCCAACAUUUCCAUCCAUCUCCGAGCUCAUCGUUUGACCCUCUGCCUUUCUGGUCCAGCAGUUUCUCCUGGGUCAGGGCGGAGGGGCAAAAAGGCCAUUUGAAUCUGCUACGAACUGAUACGGUAAACUAAGUAUUUUAGUACCUGAACCGAUGCCUAUUUAUGAUAUAUAAAUUUUCUAUGGCUAUAUUUUAGUCGGUCUGUGUGUGUCGGUGAGAUUUAAAUGGACACAUCUUAACUUGCACUUGAGACAUGGAUGAAUUAAAAACUGCUCAAAGAGAAUCUUGUGAUGUAUUUAUGCCGUUGAUGUUGCUUGUCUGACUGUUAGAAACCAUUCUAUGGUUAGAAAACAAUACUGUGGAGGACUACUACAUUUCAGGCUUUAAUCUGUAAACUGUUGAAAAUCACUAGACAUGUUUUGAGGAAAAAGAUUAUGUAAAAAUGUCCUAAAAGGCACAGAAGGAUUUGCUUUGAUCCUCUUGUACAUUUAACUGAUUCUCUGUUAUCCAAUGCCUGUUGGGCCAUUUUCUUUUUUUUUUGUAAUGUGGACACUUGUGCCUUAAUACUACAUACAUACUGUAAAGUAUCUUACCUGUACUUUAUCCCAUCUGUGCAUUUCUGAUACAAUCAGAUGGUAAAACUACACGUAUGCUUUUCCAUCAUUCAUCACAUCCUUAUAAUUUGCUAUGUAACAAAUAAAGAUUUAUUUCUUCA